This 245-nucleotide ribosomal RNA is filed under the name uncultured bacterium. Its description in RNAcentral is "partial 16S ribosomal RNA". It matches the Rfam family "Bacterial small subunit ribosomal RNA", at positions 524 to 768 of the family's 1533-position model. The record is from RNAcentral.
UACAGAGGUGGCGAGCGUUGUUCGGAUUUACUGGGCGUAAAGGGUGCGUAGGUGGCUCUGUGUGUCGGACGUGAAAUCCCACUGCCUAACGGUGGAACUGCGUUCGAAACUGCAGAGCUUGAGUGCAGGAGGGGAGAGCGGAAUACUCGGUGUAGCGGUGAAAUGCGUUGAUAUCGAGUAGAACACCGGUGGCGUAGGCGGCUCUCUGGAAUGCAACUGACACUGAGGCACGAAAGUCGGGGGAG